Molecule: long non-coding RNA, 311 nt
Filed under: Pan paniscus (pygmy chimpanzee)
Lineage: Eukaryota; Metazoa; Chordata; Mammalia; Primates; Hominidae
Description: lncRNA (ENSPPAG00000044837.1)
Source: RNAcentral
CCUUAGUAUUCAUUUUGGUUUUCUUAAACAGCUUGUACUUUUUGUUUCUUUCUUGUGUUGCAGGACUGAUUCCUUAUCCAACAUCACUUUCUGGACUACCUAGAAUCCAACUAUCAUGUAAAUGAUUAUUACUCUUCAAGAAGAAAUCCACUAACAGCAUCCUUUUCAGAAAGUGAAUCCAAGCACCUUGGAGAUAAGAAGAGAGAAGAGAAAGGGAGCUCCCAGUAGAAGAACGGUCCUGAAAAAAAAAAUUAUAGCCCCAAACCUACAUACCAUAUUCAGCCAAAUAAAAGUCUUAUAAGUGUCAAAAU